GAUCAUGGCUCAGGAUGAACGCUGGCGGCGUGCUUAACACAUGCAAGUCGAACGAAGCACAUUGAUUAGAGAUCUUCGGAUCAAAGAGAGAUGUGACUUAGUGGCGGACGGGUGAGUAACGCGUGGGUAACCUGCCUUAUACAGGGGGAUAACAGUCAGAAAUGGCUGCUAAUACCGCAUAAGCGCACAGAGCUGCAUGGCUCAGUGUGAAAAACUCCGGUGG
This 223-nucleotide ribosomal RNA is filed under the name uncultured bacterium. Its description in RNAcentral is "partial 16S ribosomal RNA". It matches the Rfam family "Bacterial small subunit ribosomal RNA", at positions 15 to 218 of the family's 1533-position model. The record is from RNAcentral.